ACAAUUUCUGCAGACGACACCACAGCUCUUAGUCGCCAGAUAUUUCCUGAUCAAUUCGGAACCUUUCAGCGUUCAGCUCAACACCAAUCAAUCAAGAUGAACAACACCGUCUUUGUCGUUCUCGUCGUCCUGGCUCUGAUCGCCGCUACCAGUGCUACGUCAUUCUCCAGCUGUCUCAGCACAUUCAACAACUGGUACAGUGAUUGUAAAAGAAGCUUGGGCCAAAAGAAGUGUGACAUUACCAUGAGUGGACUUGCUCCAGCUUGCUAUUACAGCUAACUUCUUCAUGCUUCCGUUCUCCUGAACACGUUACAAGCGGUGGACUUCUGAAUAAAGAUAUUGCAUAAGA
This is a long non-coding RNA of Aplysia californica (California sea hare), 349 nucleotides long. RefSeq lists it as uncharacterized. The record is from RefSeq and is a predicted model, not a curated record. NCBI's taxonomy places the organism in Eukaryota, Metazoa, Mollusca, Gastropoda, Aplysiida, Aplysiidae. The transcript has 2 exons.